GGGUUGUGAGGUUAAGCGACUAAGCGUACACGGUGGAUGCCCUGGCAGUCAGAGGCGAUGAAGGACGUGCUAAUCUGCGAUAAGCGUCGGUGAGGUGAUAUGAACCGUUAUAACCGGCGAUUUCCGAAUGGGGAAACCCAGUGUGAUUCGUCACACUAUCAUUAACUGAAUCCAUAGGUUAAUGAGGCGAACCGGGGGAACUGAAACAUCUAAGUACCCCGAGGAAAA
RNAcentral lists this ribosomal RNA (228 nucleotides) under Escherichia coli. Its description in RNAcentral is "partial 23S ribosomal RNA". It matches the Rfam family "Bacterial large subunit ribosomal RNA", at positions 1 to 220 of the family's 2925-position model. The record is from RNAcentral. Lineage: Bacteria; Pseudomonadati; Pseudomonadota; Gammaproteobacteria; Enterobacterales; Enterobacteriaceae.